This is a long non-coding RNA of Nerophis lumbriciformis (worm pipefish), 828 nucleotides long. RefSeq lists it as uncharacterized. NCBI's taxonomy places the organism in Eukaryota, Metazoa, Chordata, Actinopteri, Syngnathiformes, Syngnathidae. The record is from RefSeq and is a predicted model, not a curated record.
AAAAGCCUAAUUAUAUCGAGGGUGUUUAGGCGCUGGAGUCAUGUUCUUGGGCUGAUUUUGUCGUCCUCUCGCCUUAUAGGCACUCUACUCGGGCUUGCGGAGGUGGGUUUAUUUUGUACCAUUCACGUUCAUAUUUCACCGUUUGUUGCAUUUUUGUUGCGUUUAACUUGAUUGUAAAACAUGCCGAUCGAAAGGGGGUGUGACAUUCAUAUUUUGUCAAUAUUCAGUGUUUUAUCGUUCGUAGAAAAUGUAAAAUUCCAUUACGUUUUUAGCAUUCAAUCAGACAUUAUUGUGAGGUUUUGUAUUAGUGUUCCUAAAAAUAGAUAUACCGGCCCCCAGACACAUUUUUUUCUCUAAAUGUGGCCCCGAGUCAAAAUAAUUGCCCAGGCCUGACUAAGAUGAACACAACAAAAUGAACACUGACCUGUGCCCAACCAAAAAAUAUGUAUUUUUAUACAAGUUUUCAUAACGUUAAUGUUGUUUGAUUAUUGCAAUGUAGUUGAAAUAAAAAACAAUUUUUUCCAUAUGUUUUGUUAUUUUGGUGCUUGUUUCAGUAAUCCAGUACAUUGUCCCUUAAAGAAGAGGACCUCAAGUAGAACAAAAGGCUGAGUCAAGUCAGAAAGAAUUGUCCUCGUCUUCUCCAAAGGAAUCCACACCUGAGUCAGAUCUGAGGACCUAAACUCACAUUAGGUGGUUGGAGGCGGUGGGCGUGGCCGGCUCAGAGUCCCGGGAGAGGGCGGCCACCGCCAUGAUUUGAGGGGAAGAGCCCAGGCCCUCGGGGGGGUCUUCCUCCAUGUCGUCGGUGGUGAUGAUGGCCACGGCGGCGCC